CUUAAGUUUGAUCGAUAUAUAUACACUCAAACAGUAUAAGGUAUCACCAGAACAAUUAUGAAGGUCAAGUUCUGUUUGAUUGCUUCGCUUAUGAUUCUCUCUUUGGCGAUUUCGUCAUACGUCGUUUUAGUUCAAUCAUACGAAUCCGAAGAAGAAACAAUAGCAGAAACGAUUCACAUUCGAAAGAUAAUGAAGAUCGGAGCUCCUCGUAGUAAGUCACCACCUGAUCGCCAAUGGGAUGGGAGUGACUCGCCACUACCCGCCUAAGGCGAUGGCUAUACGACUUGUGGUUACAUCGUAUAAUCUCAAAUAUAUCUUCCAAAUUUGUGAACCUUAUAAUAUAGUUUAUGUAAAGUACAAGAUACUUAAAAGAAAACCAAUGGCCAGUUCCUAUGUGUUUUUGAUUAUU
Molecule: long non-coding RNA, 409 nt
Organism: Camelina sativa (false flax)
Lineage: Eukaryota; Viridiplantae; Streptophyta; Magnoliopsida; Brassicales; Brassicaceae
Source: RefSeq, a predicted model, not a curated record